RNAcentral lists this long non-coding RNA (540 nucleotides) under Carica papaya (papaya). Its description in RNAcentral is "long non-coding RNA (CPAP_LNC006582)". Lineage: Eukaryota; Viridiplantae; Streptophyta; Magnoliopsida; Brassicales; Caricaceae. The record is from RNAcentral.
GUACGUUUCGUUUUCUUUCCUUUCCGUUAGUGCCGCUCUUUGUUUGGUGGUUCCAGGAAAAUUUCCUGGAAAAUAUCAGUGAAAAUUUUACGUUUAAUGUUUUCCGCUUGAUCUUUUGUUGUCUCUAAUCUGGCAGUCGCGGAGGGAGUAUUGACCUGUGUUUAUGGAUUAUGUUUAUCAGGUUUCUUCAUAAAUAAAACGCUGAGUUAGGGUUUAUGUUUGUGUGUAAAUCAAUUUAAUGCACGUUUAGAAUGUGCCAAAUUAGACCUGAAAAUUGCAGAGAAAGGAAAAAAUGGCAACUAUUGGUGUGAAUUUUGAUCUCAAUAAAUGCAAGUGCUGUUUUAUAAAAGCUAAGUGGUUGCUGUAAGUAUGCUGAAGAGAUGUUGUUUGGAUUGCUGUGUUUUAUGCGUUCAUAUGAUAGAGUAUGUGCUUUGGAACUUUAAAACGUCAUUGUUCUACUUACUUCUCAGCAUCUGCUAUGAGAGAAAAAAAAAGAAGCAAAAGCAAAUUGAACAAAGAAGAUUCGACAUGCGAAGUCUC